CAACUGCUCAGAGGCAAACGGGUGGGCCCUCGAAAUCCGCUUGCGAGGGGAUUCAGUCGGGAGGUGGAGGGGCCGGACGUCGGCGAGCGACCGAAGAGGCGCUCCCGCGACUGGCCGAUCCCGAUCCGCCCGACGCACUUCCCUUUGCACCGAGGACGCUGCAGCCGGUUCGUGCGCACUACAAGUCGGCCAUGAGGACUUGCGACGGCAGUUGACCAGAUUCGCGGCUCCGCCCGUCGUUUCUGGUUGUUAGCCGGCGAGUCCGAGGCGCGACGCCGGACCGAGGCGAUGGAACCCCAGUCGGUUCCGGCCCAGUCCUCGCCAGACGAGCGGGACGCCUGCGUCAGGGGCGCGCGGUUGCGAGGGGUGCCACGGUCGACCGUGGCCCUCUCCCUCAGCCCCUUGCUGGGCGCGGCUAUGCCCGCGGCGACGACAACAGGGCUGGCAGCGAGUAGGUCGGUCACCCACCCGACCCGUCUUGAAACACGGACCAAGGAGUCUAACAUGUGCGCGAGUCGCAGAGUCUUGAACAGGCUCUCGGGCGCAAUGAAAGUGAAGGCCGAUCAGGUCGGCCGUGUUGGGAAGUCUCGCCCUAGACGGCGAGACCGCACCAACGACCUGUCCCGUCCGAUUUAUCGGUGGGGCGGAGUCAGAGCGUACACGUUGGGGCCCGAAAGAUGAUGAGCUAUUCCUGGGCAGGACGAAGCCAGAGGAAACU
This 718-nucleotide ribosomal RNA is filed under the name Belisana sp. Mal76. RNAcentral describes it as "partial 28S ribosomal RNA". The stretch from base 396 to 718 matches the Rfam family "Eukaryotic large subunit ribosomal RNA", at positions 1 to 863 of the family's 3401-position model. Lineage: Eukaryota; Metazoa; Arthropoda; Arachnida; Araneae; Pholcidae. The record is from RNAcentral.